Molecule: ribosomal RNA, 236 nt
Filed under: Cohnella sp.
Lineage: Bacteria; Bacillati; Bacillota; Bacilli; Caryophanales; Paenibacillaceae
Description: partial 16S ribosomal RNA
Rfam family: Bacterial small subunit ribosomal RNA
Source: RNAcentral
UUUAUGGAGAGUUUGAUCCUGGCUCAGGACGAACGCUGGCGGCGUGCCUAAUACAUGCAAGUCGAGCGGAUCUUCUCCUUCGGGGGAAGGUUAGCGGCGGACGGGUGAGUAACACGUAGGCAACCUGCCCACAAGACCGGGAUAACAUUCGGAAACGAAUGCUAAGACCGGAUACGCAAGCCUGGGGCAUCUCGGGCUUGGGAAACACGGCGCAAGCUGUGGCUUGUGGAUGGGCC